UACGUAGGGGGCAAGCGUUGUCCGGAAUCAUUGGGCGUAAAGCGCGUGUAGGCGGCUCGGUAAGUCUGCUGUGAAAGUCCAGGGCUCAACCCUGGGACGCCGGUGGAUACUGUCGAGCUCGAGUCCGGAAGAGGCGAGUGGAAUUCCUGGUGUAGCGGUGAAAUGCGCAGAUAUCAGGAGGAACACCAAUGGCGAAGGCAGCUCGCUGGGACGUGACUGACGCUGAGACGCGAAAGCGUGGGGAGCAAACAGG
This 253-nucleotide ribosomal RNA is filed under the name uncultured bacterium. Its description in RNAcentral is "partial 16S ribosomal RNA". It matches the Rfam family "Bacterial small subunit ribosomal RNA", at positions 524 to 776 of the family's 1533-position model. The record is from RNAcentral.